GUUUUGAAGAGUAAUAAGAAAAUGUGGGAGGAAUGCUUGCCUCAUAUUGAAUUUGCUUAUAAUCGUUCAUUGCAUUCUACUACUAAGAUGUGCCCUUUUGAAGUUGUGUAUGGUUUCCUACCUCGUGCACCUAUUGAUUUGUUGCCUCUUCCAUCUUCGGAGAAGGUUAAUUUUGAUGCUAAACAACGUGCUGAAUUGAUUUUAAAAAUGCAUGAGUUAACUAAGAAAAACAUUGAGCGUAUGAAUGCUAAAUAUAAACUUGCUGGAGAUAAGGGUAGAAAACAUGUUGUGUUUGCACCUGGAGAUCUUGUUUGGUUACAUUUGCGUAAGGAUAGAUUUCCUGAUUUGCGCAAAUCAAAGCUAAUGCCACGUGCUGAUGGUCCCUUUAAGGUGUUAGAGAAAAUAAAUGAUAAUGCAUAUAAACUUGAGCUGCCUGCAGAUUUUGGGGUUAGUCCCACUUUUAACAUUGCAGAUUUGAAGCCUUAUUUGGGUGAGGAAGAUGAGUUUCCGUCGAGGACGACUUCAUUUCAAGAAGGGGAGGAUGAUGAGGACAUCAAUACCAUUGUUACACCC
This 573-nucleotide ribosomal RNA is filed under the name Triticum aestivum (bread wheat). RNAcentral's name for it is "partial small subunit ribosomal RNA". The record is from RNAcentral. Lineage: Eukaryota; Viridiplantae; Streptophyta; Magnoliopsida; Poales; Poaceae.